UACAGAGGUCUCAAGCGUUGUUCGGAUUCAUUGGGCGUAAAGGGUGCGUAGGCGGCGCGGUAAGUCGGGUGUGAAAUCUUGGAGCUUAACUCCGAAACUGCAUUCGAUACUGCCGUGCUUGAGGACUGGAGAGGAGACUGGAAUUUACGGUGUAGCGGUGAAAUGCGUAGAUAUCGUAAGGAAGACCAGUGGCGAAGGCAGCUCGCUGGGACGUUACUGACGCUGAGACGCGAAAGCGUGGGGAGCAAACAGG
RNAcentral lists this ribosomal RNA (253 nucleotides) under uncultured bacterium. RNAcentral describes it as "partial 16S ribosomal RNA". It matches the Rfam family "Bacterial small subunit ribosomal RNA", at positions 524 to 776 of the family's 1533-position model. The record is from RNAcentral.